CCUACGGGAGGCAGCAGUGGGGAAUAUUGGGCAAUGGGCGCAAGCCUGACCCAGCAACGCCGCGUGAAGGAAGAAGGCUUUCGGGUUGUAAACUUCUUUUCUGAGGGACGAAGAAAGUGACGGUACCUCAGGAAUAAGCCACGGCUAACUACGUGCCAGCAGCCGCGGUAAUACGUAGGGGGCAAGCGUUAUCCGGAUUUACUGGGUGUAAAGGGGGCGCAGGCGGCGUGGCAAGUCAGAUGUGAAAACCCGGGGCCCAACCCCGGGAGUGCAUUUGAAACUGCCAUGCUGGAGUGCCGGAGAGGUAAGCGGAAUUCCUAGUGUAGCGGUGAAAUGCGUAGAUAUUAGGAGGAACACCAGUGGCGGAGGCGGCUUACUGGACGGUAACUGACGCUGAGGCUCGAAAGCGUGGGGAGCAAACAGGAUUAGAUACCCCUGUAGUC
RNAcentral lists this ribosomal RNA (443 nucleotides) under uncultured bacterium. RNAcentral's name for it is "partial 16S ribosomal RNA". It matches the Rfam family "Bacterial small subunit ribosomal RNA", at positions 338 to 795 of the family's 1533-position model. The record is from RNAcentral.